UACGAAGGGGGCUAGCGUUGCUCGGAAUCACUGGGCGUAAAGCGCACGUAGGCGGGUCUUUAAGUCAGGGGUGAAAUCCCGGAGCUCAACUCCGGAACUGCCUUUGAUACUGGAGAUCUUGAGUCCGGGAGAGGUGAGUGGAACUCCGAGUGUAGAGGUGAAAUUCGUAGAUAUUCGGAAGAACACCAGUGGCGAAGGCGGCUCACUGGCCCGGUACUGACGCUGAGGUGCGAAAGCCAGGGGAGCGAACGGG
This 253-nucleotide ribosomal RNA is filed under the name uncultured bacterium. RNAcentral's name for it is "partial 16S ribosomal RNA". It matches the Rfam family "Bacterial small subunit ribosomal RNA", at positions 524 to 776 of the family's 1533-position model. The record is from RNAcentral.